GGCGGCGUGCCUAACACAUGCAAGUCGUACGAGAAAGUUGGCUUCGGCCGAUGAGUAAAGUGGCGCACGGGUGAGUAAUGCGUGGAUUAAUCUGCCCUUUAGUUGGGAAUAACGUACCGAAAGGUGCGCUAAUACCUGAUAAUACUGCAUAACUACUGUUGUGUAGUCAAAGAAGGCCUCUGUUUACAAGCUUUUGCUGAAGGAUGAGUCCGCGUACCAUUAGCUGGUUGGUGGGGUAAUGGCCUACCAAGGCUACGAUGGUUAGCUGGUCUGAGAGGAUGAUCAGCCACACUGGAACUGAGACACGGUCCAGACUCCUACGGGAGGCAGCAGUGAGGAAUAUUGCGCAAUGGGGGCAACCCUGACGCAGCAACGCCGCGUGAGUGAGGAAGGUUUUCGGACCGUAAAGCUCUGUCGAGCGGGAAGAAAUGUAUCAUGGCUAAUAUCCAUGAUACUUGACGGUACCGCUAAAGGAAGCACCGGCUAACUCCGUG
This 494-nucleotide ribosomal RNA is filed under the name uncultured bacterium. Its description in RNAcentral is "bacterial SSU rRNA". It matches the Rfam family "Bacterial small subunit ribosomal RNA", at positions 38 to 507 of the family's 1533-position model. The record is from RNAcentral.